GGCGGCGUAGCUCAACUGGCUGAGCGUACGGUUCAUACCCGUAAGGUCGGGGGUUCAAGCCCCUCCGCCGCUG
This 73-nucleotide transfer RNA is filed under the name Paenibacillus larvae. RNAcentral's name for it is "tRNA-Met". It matches the Rfam family "tRNA". From Rfam's summary of the family: Transfer RNA (tRNA) molecules are approximately 80 nucleotides in length. Lineage: Bacteria; Bacillati; Bacillota; Bacilli; Caryophanales; Paenibacillaceae. The record is from RNAcentral.